This 438-nucleotide ribosomal RNA is filed under the name uncultured bacterium. RNAcentral's name for it is "partial 16S ribosomal RNA". It matches the Rfam family "Bacterial small subunit ribosomal RNA", at positions 339 to 795 of the family's 1533-position model. The record is from RNAcentral.
CUACGGGCGGCUCCAGUGAGGAAUAUUGCGCAAUGGGGGAACCCUGAUGCAGCAACGCCGCGUGGAGGAUGACGCAUUUCGGUGUGUAAACUCCUUUUAUAUGUCAAGAAAAUGACGGUAGCAUAUGAAUAAGCACCGGCUAACUCCGUGCCAGCGGCCGCGGUAAUACGGAGGGUGCAAGCGUUACUCGGAAUCACUGGGCGUAAAGGACGCGUAGGCGGGUUGGAAAGUCAGGUGUGAAAUCCUACAGCUUAACUGUAGAACUGCACUUGAAACUUCUAAUCUAGAGUAUGGGAGGGGGAGAUGGAAUUAGUGGUGUAGGGGUAAAAUCCGUAGAUAUCACUAGGAAUACCUAAAGCGAAGGCGAUCUCCUGGAACAUUACUGACGCUAAGGCGUGAAAGCGUGGGGAGCAAACAGGAUUAGAUACCCGCGUAGUC